UAGUCAUAUGCUUGUCUCAAAGAUUAAGCCAUGCAUGUCUAAGUAUAAAAGUAUUCUAUACUUGAAACUGCGAAUAGCUCAUUAAAUCAGUUAUAGUUUAUUUGAUGGUGACCUUACUACAUGGAUACCCGUAGUAAUUCUAGAGCUAAUACAUGCCAAGAAAGCCCUGUCGUAAGGCAGGGUUGUAUUUAUUAGAUAAAAAACCAUUACUCGCAAGGGUUUUUGUGGUGAUUCAUAAUAACUGUUCGAAUCGCGGCGCAAGCUGCGAUUGAUCAUU
RNAcentral lists this ribosomal RNA (277 nucleotides) under uncultured eukaryote. RNAcentral's name for it is "partial 18S ribosomal RNA". It matches the Rfam family "Eukaryotic small subunit ribosomal RNA", at positions 21 to 299 of the family's 1831-position model. The record is from RNAcentral.